GUGGCGGAAUUCGAAAAGCCUUACGAGUAGGAA
Molecule: non-coding RNA, 33 nt
Filed under: unclassified sequences
Source: RNAcentral